UGCUGAAGCCUGCUCUGCCUUUCUGUCCCGUUUCUCUUCUUCCUUUCUACAUUAUCCUUCUCCUUUUCCUUCUUUUCCUGAGAUAGGAGGAUGCACAACUAAUUUGGUCUUUUUCAGAAGCCCUAUCUGCUGAGAAGCAAACAUUUCAAUUUUAAAGGUUAGAGUGAGGGGCCUGGGGUGAGCUCGGCAACAGAGGCCUUUCCUAGCAUGCACCAGGCCCUGAGCAUCAUCUCCAGCACACACACCAUCCAAGGAAAAAAGCAAAACAGCCCGGUGUGUAAACUGCUUAACCUCCUCGGAGAGCCGCUGAGAUGGGAGCAGCAUCGGCCAUUUCCAAG
This 338-nucleotide long non-coding RNA is filed under the name Heterocephalus glaber (naked mole-rat). Its description in RNAcentral is "lncRNA (ENSHGLG00100025830.2)". The record is from RNAcentral. Lineage: Eukaryota; Metazoa; Chordata; Mammalia; Rodentia; Bathyergidae.